Molecule: ribosomal RNA, 306 nt
Filed under: Triticum aestivum (bread wheat)
Lineage: Eukaryota; Viridiplantae; Streptophyta; Magnoliopsida; Poales; Poaceae
Description: partial small subunit ribosomal RNA
Source: RNAcentral
AUGCAUCGCCUUAGUUACCACGACGCUAGCAUACUGGUUGACCAUACAGAGGACUUGCUGCUAUCGCUGCUUGAACAAAUGAGGUGGCCAAAAUUCCAUAACUGGUGUCUGCAUUUAUCAACCAGUAAAUACCUAAUUGUUGUCUUUUUGUUUUCAUGCUUUUUGUGUUUUUUGCUCGAUGUUCCGUUAUCGACUCAUAGUGGAACCCGAUCCGUUUUGGAUCGAAUGGAAAAAAGAAAUAGUGAAAUACCUAAUUGUAGUGCACUUGUAAAGACAUGGACAAUGUGUAAUGACUAUCACACUUAA